UAGAGCGUAUUCUGAUUUGGUUUUUGCAUAAGGGUGUUUGUUGUCUCAACAUGAGGACCAAGGAAGUGUCAAUGGCAGUAAAGCAGACCAUCAUCAAGCUGAAAAGUGAGAAAAAAACGAUCAGAGAAAUAGCCGAAACACUGGGUGUGUCAAAAUCAACUGUUUGGUACAUUGUUAAGAAGCAAGAACGAACUGGUGAGCUCAGCAAUACAAAACGAUCUGGUAGGCCACGGAAGACCACUGUGGUGGAUGACGAAAAAAUACUUUCAAUUGUUAAGAAAAAGCCAUUUUCAACUGCCGAACAGAUCAAGAACACACUUCAGGAUAUAGGCGUAGAUUUGUCAACGACCACUAUAAAAAGAAGACUGCACCAGCUUAACUUCAAAUGGUUCACGACCAGAUGCAAACCACUGGAUAUGACCUCCCACUCUCCGGACCAAAGUGGGAUGUCACUGCUCCAGGAGCAAGUUAGAAGGGAGAUCUUGCAGAGGAUGCAAACUAGGUUCAGCUCCAUCAUUGACAGUGAAACGAUGGAUUUGGAGGAACUGCUUAACAUUGCUCGACAAGAGCUUGCUGUGGCUACAGCAACAUCAAGUCACGUUAACAUCCCAGAGGAACUGGUCUGCAGUCUACAGGAGCUAAUCUGCAGACUUGACCAGUCCAUGCAGUCUACUGCAGAAGCACCAGCUAAUCCCUCAGAUACUGAAACUGUUACUCUGACCAAUUCCCCUUGCUCUAAAUGAAUGUUCUCCACCCCAUCCCAUUUAACACAGACUAUGUUGAUUUAACAACAUUCUGCAAUGAUGUCUACCAUUCAUGUCGUGUUUGUACUUGUAAAUAUAUAAAUAAUUUGCCCAUAAAACAUUUUGUUAAUACUAUGCCUUUUUCAUUAUUAUUCAUGGACAUUGUUUUUUUUCCAAAUGGCCAAUCGAAGUGCUGCCCACCAGAGGUGGGAUUGUUUAAAUGGAUGACUGUUUCCUGUUACUGAACACUGACAUUGAAGUUCUGAUGGGUGUAAUAUCUGUCCAAUAAAUAAGACUUUUCUUAAAAUCUGAAAUCAUA
Molecule: long non-coding RNA, 1062 nt
Organism: Conger conger (European conger)
Lineage: Eukaryota; Metazoa; Chordata; Actinopteri; Anguilliformes; Congridae
Exons: 3
Source: RefSeq, a predicted model, not a curated record